This 253-nucleotide ribosomal RNA is filed under the name uncultured bacterium. Its description in RNAcentral is "partial 16S ribosomal RNA". It matches the Rfam family "Bacterial small subunit ribosomal RNA", at positions 524 to 776 of the family's 1533-position model. The record is from RNAcentral.
UACGAAGGGGGCUAGCGUUGCUCGGAAUCACUGGGCGUAAAGCACACGUAGGCGGAUUGCUAAGUCAGGGGUGAAAUCCUGGAGCUCAACUCCAGAACUGCCUUUGAUACUGGCGAUCUUGAGUCCGGGAGAGGUGAGUGGAACUGCGAGUGUAGAGGUGAAAUUCGUAGAUAUUCGCAAGAACACCAGUGGCGAAGGCGGCUCACUGGCCCGGUACUGACGCUGAGGUGCGAAAGCGUGGGGAGCAAACAGG